RNAcentral lists this ribosomal RNA (1521 nucleotides) under metagenome. RNAcentral's name for it is "bacterial SSU rRNA". It matches the Rfam family "Bacterial small subunit ribosomal RNA". The record is from RNAcentral.
AGAGUUUGAUCAUGGCUCAGAUUGAACGCUGGCGGCAGGCCUAACACAUGCAAGUCGAACGGUAACAGGAAACAGCUUGCUGUUUCGCUGACGAGUGGCGGACGGGUGAGUAAUGUCUGGGAAACUGCCUGAUGGAGGGGGAUAACUACUGGAAACGGUAGCUAAUACCGCAUAACGUCGCAAGACCAAAGAGGGGGACCUUCGGGCCUCUUGCCAUCAGAUGUGCCCAGAUGGGAUUAGCUAGUAGGUGGGGUAACGGCUCACCUAGGCGACGAUCCCUAGCUGGUCUGAGAGGAUGACAGCCACACUGGAACUGAGACACGGUCCAGACUCCUACGGGAGGCAGCAGUGGGGAAUAUUGCACAAUGGGCGCAAGCCUGAUGCAGCCAUGCCGCGUGUAUGAAGAAGGCCUUCGGGUUGUAAAGUACUUUCAGCGGGGAGGAAGGGAGUAAAGUUAAUACCUUUGCUCAUUGACGUUACCCGCAGAAGAAGCACCGGCUAACUCCGUGCCAGCAGCCGCGGUAAUACGGAGGGUGCAAGCGUUAAUCGGAAUUACUGGGCGUAAAGCGCACGCAGGCGGUUUGUUAAGUCAGAUGUGAAAUCCCCGGGCUCAACCUGGGAACUGCAUCUGAUACUGGCAAGCUUGAGUCUCGUAGAGGGGGGUAGAAUUCCAGGUGUAGCGGUGAAAUGCGUAGAGAUCUGGAGGAAUACCGGUGGCGAAGGCGGCCCCCUGGACGAAGACUGACGCUCAGGUGCGAAAGCGUGGGGAGCAAACAGGAUUAGAUACCCUGGUAGUCCACGCCGUAAACGAUGUCGACUUGGAGGUUGUGCCCUUGAGGCGUGGCUUCCGGAGCUAACGCGUUAAGUCGACCGCCUGGGGAGUACGGCCGCAAGGUUAAGACUCAAAUGAAUUGACGGGGGCCCGCACAAGCGGUGGAGCAUGUGGUUUAAUUCGAUGCAACGCGAAGAACCUUACCUGGUCUUGACAUCCACGGAAGUUUUCAGAGAUGAGAAUGUGCCUUCGGGAACCGUGAGACAGGUGCUGCAUGGCUGUCGUCAGCUCGUGUUGUGAAAUGUUGGGUUAAGUCCCGCAACGAGCGCAACCCUUAUCCUUUGUUGCCAGCGGUCCGGCCGGGAACUCAAAGGAGACUGCCAGUGAUAAACUGGAGGAAGGUGGGGAUGACGUCAAGUCAUCAUGGCCCUUACGACCAGGGCUACACACGUGCUACAAUGGCGCAUACAAAGAGAAGCGACCUCGCGAGAGCAAGCGGACCUCAUAAAGUGCGUCGUAGUCCGGAUUGGAGUCUGCAACUCGACUCCAUGAAGUCGGAAUCGCUAGUAAUCGUGGAUCAGAAUGCCACGGUGAAAACGUUCCCGGGCCUUGUACACACCGCCCGUCACACCAUGGGAGUGGGUUGCAAAAGAAGUAGGUAGCUUAACCUUCGGGAGGGCGCUUACCACUUUGUGAUUCAUGACUGGGGUGAAGUCGGAACAAGGUAACCGUAGGGGAACCUGCGGUUG